GUGUGUUGCUCGGGUCGGGUCGGGUAUAUUCUUUCCCCCGCCUGUUAGAAGUAGGUGCCAUAGCUCGUCCUUUGAUGAGGUCAAUGUGCAGUACCAAACCUAGCCUUUGGUUUGUUGUGUGAUGAAAUUAACAACGCCAACUGUAUGCUUUGCUGUCGUGCAACAUCAGGUGCUGCUGUGUUAAUAAGGACUCCGAACAAAUGUUUUGUUCUUUUUGUCCACUGCCUCCAGCCAUCACUGUGUUGGUCGUUUUAGAUUAUCUGUGUUAUAAUAAAAUAUCCU
Acipenser ruthenus (sterlet) is the source of this 282-nucleotide long non-coding RNA. RefSeq lists it as uncharacterized. Lineage: Eukaryota; Metazoa; Chordata; Actinopteri; Acipenseriformes; Acipenseridae. The transcript has 3 exons. The record is from RefSeq and is a predicted model, not a curated record.